GCUGGGCACGGUGGCGCUUGCCUGUAAUCCCAGCACUUCGGAGGCUGAGGUGGGCGGAUCACUUGAGGUCAGGAGUUUGUGACCAGCCUGGUCAACAUGGUGAAACCCCGUCUCUA
RNAcentral lists this non-coding RNA (116 nucleotides) under Nomascus leucogenys (northern white-cheeked gibbon). The record is from Rfam by way of RNAcentral. Lineage: Eukaryota; Metazoa; Chordata; Mammalia; Primates; Hylobatidae.